UUAGUGGCGGACGGGUGAGUAACGCGUAAGAAUCUACCUAUAGGUUCGGGACAACAGUUAGAAAUGACUGCUAAUACCGGAUAUGCCCUCGGGUGAAAGUUUUAAUGCCUGUAGAUGAGCUUGCGUUCGAUUAGCUAGAUGGUGGGGUAAAGGCCUACCAUGGCGACGAUCGAUAACUGGUCUGAGAGGAUGACCAGUCACACUGGGACUGAGACACGGCCCAG
RNAcentral lists this ribosomal RNA (224 nucleotides) under uncultured bacterium. RNAcentral describes it as "partial 16S ribosomal RNA". It matches the Rfam family "Bacterial small subunit ribosomal RNA", at positions 92 to 334 of the family's 1533-position model. The record is from RNAcentral.